UACGUAGGGGGCUAGCGUUGUCCGGAUUUAUUGGGCGUAAAGAGCGUGUAGGCGGCCCGGUAAGUCCGCUGUAAAAGUCAAAGGCUCAACCUUUGAAUGUCAGUGGAUACUGCCGGGCUAGAGUCCGGAAGAGGCGAGUGGAACUCCUGGUGUAGCGGUGGAAUGCGCAGAUAUCAGGAAGAACACCAACGGCGAAGGCAGCUCGCUAGGACGGUACUGACGCUGAGACGCGAAAGCGUGGGGAGCGAACAGG
Molecule: ribosomal RNA, 253 nt
Filed under: uncultured bacterium
Lineage: Bacteria
Description: partial 16S ribosomal RNA
Rfam family: Bacterial small subunit ribosomal RNA
Source: RNAcentral